CAAAUAAAUCAACAAAUUCUAAGUUGGGAGUUGACGGAACUAUGAGAUUAAGAAUGAGAAAGAAUAAAGAAAAUAAAAUGAUUCAAAAAAAAAUUUGAAUUCUCUUGGAGGUUGGGAAGGAUAGGUGAAUGUUGGUCAGGCAGUAUUUUCAGAUACUGGGGCCAGUCGUGGUGAGAUGAGACCUAGGGUGAUUACGAUGAGCUGAGUCCCAUAUCGUGCCCCUCAAUGAACAUAGUAAAGCUGAAAAACAAACCAUGUUAGGCUGCAGUCACUGAGAUUUGGGAGUUACUUGUUACCGUAACUUAACCUCCUGAAUGAUGCAAAAAGGAAGCCUCAGUUACUUCUUCAGAUACAUCUUGUGGGGAAAAAUAUCAGGGGAUCUACCCAUAAGUUGAGAUCCUUCAAAAUUCAGAAUGGAAUUUUCAUAUUUAAUUUUAAAUUCGCUUUCACAAGAAAUUAUCGUUAUCAUCUUAUUAAAAGUUCUACAGUGAAAUACUUCUUAAAUAUAUUUAAAUGAAGCGGAAGUUGGUAGUGCUAGAAUUAACAUAGGAACUGCUUGUUGAUGUAAGUGAUUCUAUUUAUAAUGUUAAGAAAGAUUGGCUUAAAUAUUCCAUUUUAACUGCAAUGUAAGUCGAAGUCCUGAAAGUUAAAAUUACAUGCUUUGAAUGAAUUUACCUAUGAAUUAAAUCUACUACUCAUAGGAAGUGUUUCAGCAAUUUAUCAAAAAUCACAUGAAUAUUCAUUAUAAAUUGACUUCCGCUGAAAACCUUAAUUGUGCCAACACUUUUAUGAUGAUAUGAUUGUGAUGAAGGACCAACAUAGCAUCAUUUUAUUUGUCACCAGAGAAAACCUAUGUUUGUCUCAUCAAAAAGUUCCAAGGCAAAAAUAAUUUUUGGAAAGUUUAUAUAAAAGGAAAGAUUAUGAUAGCUGAGUUGCAAUAAAGCAUUUUGCAAAAAUAGCAUCUUCCUUGGUUAAAUCCUUAUAAAAAUCAUGUUUUGGUGAUUUGAUUUUUAAAUAACUAUGCUGUGUUUUAAAACUAACAUUUAGUAUAUCACUAAUAUAGUAUAUUAAUGUAUAAUAGACUAUUAUAAUAUACUGUAUUGUAUUAAUAUGGUGUAUUAAUGUGUAAUAUACCAUAUUGAUACAAUAUAUUGACUUUGUUAUAAUUAACAUUAUAAUGUUAUAUUAAUGCUAUCUUCAUAAAUAAUAGCAUUAUAUUGGAACUUAGAAGUAAUGUAAUUCUCUAAAUAAAGAACUUUAUUUGCAAGGCUUGCCUUUCAUUUUCUGACUCCGUGACCUUGAGAAGUUGACUUCUUUUUCUUCUUUAAACCUUUGUCAAAGGGAUAACUUAGUGUUAUAAAUUAAAGCAAAUUUUACCUAGGUGUGCAAAUAGCAUUUGCUUAAAAAAAGAAAGAGAAGAACCAGUUACACUAGGUGUUACGUUAGUCCAGAGAAGUAGAGUUAGGAUAUGAUCGUGAUGCAGAACCAACAUAGCAUCGUCUUAUUUGUCACCAGAGAAAACAAACGAACGAGUGCGUUUACAAGUGAUAGAGAACUCGGUGAAGAAAUCACUGUAAAGUGAGUGCAACAGAAGCAGAUGUAUCAAAAUUGGGAGACGUGUUCUCAACUCUGACCAUAUCUACAGCUCCAGAUACGAACAGCAAGAACGUCUCUUCUCAGAUACAUUUGGAAACUCUAAGUGGAGGGAUAGUGGAAAACAGUAAAAGCCACCCCCCCCGACCCCCCAGUGUUAUCCUGGCUGUAAUAAGAGAAUGAAGGUGGGGAUGACAGAAGGGCCUGAUAAAGGAAAAUACCAAACAGGGAAGAGGCAAGGAAGAGAGCACAGCUGAACAGGAAGGUAGGGAAGGUACCGAGAUAAAUAAUUUUGGAGACCUUUUUAGUUCCUUUCGUGGAGAGCCAAUGAUGAUGUAUUGUGUGUGAAAUGACCGGAAAUAAGGAAGCUGUUCGCCCUCCAGAUGUGCUGCAAGGAUGGCUUUGUUUUGGAGACGGUAGAAAUAGAAAGGCGAGGGCAACAUGUUUUUCAAGGUCUUUCCUGGGGUUUUGUCUCUGAACAUUGAUGCUAAUAAUGAUUCUCAUUGAAACUGAACUGUGGGGCGAGGGACCUGGUAAUAGAAGUGCUUCGCCGAGUCCUGUGGUUAUUCUGUGAUUUCAGUGAAAGUCGUACAGGGAAAGGCAUAGUUAGAUGGGGAAAUGUGGUGGCAUCAGCUGUGCCAAGGGGAGAUGGGGGAACCACCUGCAAGGUGCUUUUUGCAGAGAAAGAGAAAUGAUGGGUGAUACAGGAAAGAGCUAAGGGUGUGUCACGGAGGUCUCCACGUCCAGAGUGUAACACGCAGUCAGUAGACUGUAGUAGCCAAGGAGAGCAAAAAUUAAGCGUAUCUGAGGUUUUUACACUUAGAGGAGGGGUAAUGCUAUGUAACCUUGAAUUUUUGUGAUGAGAAAUUCUCUCAGCUCUGCAAAUUGUCACAGACAGUGCCGUACAACAUGGAAGGCACUGCUAAGAAAGUCACGUGCUCAGAAUUAAAUAGAAUAAAAAUCUUCAGAAGUGAAUUGUGUCUAGAUGAAGGAGACAGUAUAUAAAUUUAGACGUGUAGGAGAAGGGACUGAGCAUGAUUAUAAAUAAUUAUGCUUGUAAGACAGACACAUACUGCCCAUUUUUUUGAGAUUACAGCUUAAUAGGACAAGAGUCACCCUUGGAUUUGUGCGUUGGCUCUGCCUCGUACUCCCUAGAUGUGACUGUUGUCACUGCAGUGGCUUGGGUCACUGCAUGGUGACCCAAGGGUUUGAUCCCUGGCCUGGGAACUUUCAUGUGCCACAGGUGCAGCCUCCCCGCCUCCGCCAAAAAAAUUGUAAUACCUAGCACAGAGCAAAUUCUCAAAAUGUUAGCCAAGGACUGUAGCAAAAUCUUUUUUCUUUUUUUUUGUGUCUUUUUUGGGCUGAACCUGUGGCCUAUGGAGGUGCCCAGAGUUAGUGUUUAGUGGCCCCCGGACUGGUUCUGGUGGUCCUCCUUCUUUUCAGUAUGAAGAAAGCUUCAUCGGCUAGUUAACAUGUUACAUUUGGGGUGGGGGAGGGUAGUUCUGCAGAAGAACUCAAAAAUGUUGUUAUGUGUCUUCCUUGAGGGGGAACCGGGACCCUUCCCCAAAGCUGUGCUAUUGUUCCUUGACUGUUCCUCUCUCUCUUCUCAGCAUCCUCUCCCUUCCCCAACAAGCCAUUGUUUGAACCUGCCCUUUGGAACUCAGGGAAGGUCACGGAGGGUGAAUGAGGCCUAUUUCCUAAAAACAAGAUAUGAGGGACACACAAAGGCUUUUCUUCUCAGGAGCCCCACAGGGUCCUGCUCUGUUUCAGUUCCCCUGGGAGAGGACAACUGGAAACUCCACGCUUGGCACUUUCCUGCACUCUGUCCCCUGUGUUUCGUCCCUGGGUGGAUUUUAAUCUCUCUCCCUUUACUGUAGUAAAUUGUAACUGUCCACAUGCACAUAACAGCUUUCAGUGAGUUCUUUGAGUCUUUCUAAUGGGUUGUCAAACCUGAGAAUGGUCUGAAGGACCCCGAAACUUGCAACUGGUGUCAAAUGUAAGCAUGGGGAGUUCUCAUUGUGGCUCAGCAGGUAAGGACCCCACCUUGUCUCUGUGAGGAUGCGAGUUUGAUCCCUGGCCUCGCUCCGUGAGUUAAGGAUCUGAUGUUGCUGCAGAUGAGGCUCAGAUCUGGUGUUGCCGUGGCUAUGGGUGUAGGCUGGCAACUUCAGCUCAGAUUUGACCCCUGGCC
RNAcentral lists this long non-coding RNA (3781 nucleotides) under Sus scrofa (pig). RNAcentral describes it as "lncRNA (ENSSSCG00030006038.1)". The record is from RNAcentral. Lineage: Eukaryota; Metazoa; Chordata; Mammalia; Artiodactyla; Suidae.